Transfer RNA from Puccinia sorghi, 112 nucleotides. It matches the Rfam family "tRNA". From Rfam's summary of the family: Transfer RNA (tRNA) molecules are approximately 80 nucleotides in length. NCBI's taxonomy places the organism in Eukaryota, Fungi, Basidiomycota, Pucciniomycetes, Pucciniales, Pucciniaceae. The record is from Rfam.
GUCUCCGUGGCGCAAUUGGUUAGCGCGUUCGACUGUUACGCGGCGGCGCUUUAGAUCAAGUGCCGGCGAGAGUUUCAUCGAGAGGUUGACAGUUCAAUCCUGUCCGGGGACG